Molecule: ribosomal RNA, 111 nt
Filed under: uncultured bacterium
Lineage: Bacteria
Description: partial 16S ribosomal RNA
Rfam family: Bacterial small subunit ribosomal RNA
Source: RNAcentral
CCCGGGCCUUGUACACACCGCCCGUCACACCAUGGGAGUUGGUUUACCUUAAGACGGUGUGCUAACCCGCAAGGGAGGCAGCCGCCUAAAGUGUGAUCGGUAAUUGGGGUG